UAAAGUUACUUACUUUCCCCAUUAGUUAACUGGCAACUCAGCACCAAGUAGACAACAGUGACCAAAACCACCGGCGCAGAAAUCUUGACCUGCAUCCUGAAUUCUGGCUUUGGCCAGCUCGCGAGCCAGUCUGAUGACACUUUCAUCCAAAGCGAUGUACAACAAGUGCAUACCAAAGCAUCCAUCCUCACUUCACCCAGCCAUCAAUGUUAGUCAGCCCACAGAGCAUCCGGCUACGUGCACAGCAGGCCUGAGCCACGAUACGGAUGACCUACGACCUCCAGGCCUGAGCCACGAUACGGAUGACCUACGACCUCCAGGACUGAGCCACGAUACGGAUGACCUAUGACCUCCAGGACUGAGCCACGAUACGGAUGACCUAUGACCUCUACCCCCUGCCCUGGGGUUCACUGAAAUGCAGAGCAGUAGUACUGCAGGUGAAGCCAAUGUAAAAACAAUGGGAAUUGGUCUAGGUCCGGCUGUUUUCUGAUUGGAUCAGGGUGGCCACAUGCCAGUCACUGUGGGCCAACAUGUAACCAGGGAAGUGGUAGACACUGUCAUGGAGUUCUAAUUAGUCGAUGGUAAGUGGUUUUUGGGGUGGGGUUCAAGGCAGCUGGACCCUGUGACGCUGUGUGAUCGCUGCGUAAACAGAUGCGCUUCAGCGUUGCAUAAAUAGACACGUUCAAGGCACUGCUCCCAGCAGUAAGCCACAUCCCCAAAUUCCUGUGCCAACUGGUUGUGAUGCGCACCCAGGGUGGCAUUUUCACCACAGUUCGGGGAAGAGUCUGAUGAAGAGGAUGGUGCUGAUGAAGGUGACCAGGACAAGGCCCAGCCAGAGAAGGUAUCGUGGUUCUGACUCCGCCCACUUUUUCUCACAUACAUCCUGCUUCGCCCUGCAAGACAGCACCUGCAAAACCAUGGCAACUGCGCUCAGAGCCACACACACAGCAUGUUCUUUAUUUUCACUCAACUUUCUGCACACACAGUGGGACUCAGUCACCUGUUAAAAACAUUACUAAUCCAAGGAAAGCCUCUCUCCUCAAAAGGAAACGAAGGGGACCCUUUUCUGCCUUUUCUGAACAAUUUCAUGCCAGAGAAACCACUCGCAUAUCUAAUAUAAAUAACUCUGCUGCCCCCUACAGGCAGCAUGUGGUAACACAUAGAGUCUGGUUUGGUGGGGAGAGAGAUGGCUGGGGUUACAGCUGUUCUGCCCUAGUUAAAGCCACUGGGGUUCAGUGCAACAGCUGCAGCUUCAAAGCAGUGUCUUACUGCGCACACACCUGCUGAUGUGACAGAUUUAACCUACAUCGGCAGGUUAGCAUGCUGUAGACUGCAGACAAGGCCAGUACACUCUACCCAGAAUGCAGUGCGGCUACUCACCUGGGUGUCAUGCGGGAGGAGUCGUUGGGAGGCCAGUGUGCUCUUCCUCAAGUUGCGCGCCAGGUGUAGGAUGUCCUCCGCCAGGUGCUGCUGCUGCUGCAACAUGGCGUCUAGCUCCGCCCCCGACCGCCAAUCCUCCAGCCGCAACGCCCUGUGGAACGCACCCACAACCGUUACCAUAACGACCAGCUCAAAUCCCAAACGCAAACCAAAAUGGACAGAUCUCUGCCAUCCGCUCACCUUCUCUUUCGCAUGUCUGUUUCCGUGGUACCUGCAAAACAGAAAUGCUAUAUAACACAUACAAUGCACUUUACACCACAGGAUACACUAUAUAACAUAUUCAAAGCACUUUACACCACAGGAUACACUAUAUAACACAUACAAAGCACUUUACACCACAGGAUACACUAUAUAACACAUACAAAGCACUUUACACCACAGGAUACACUAUAUAA
Molecule: long non-coding RNA, 1835 nt
Organism: Anguilla rostrata (American eel)
Lineage: Eukaryota; Metazoa; Chordata; Actinopteri; Anguilliformes; Anguillidae
Exons: 3
Source: RefSeq, a predicted model, not a curated record